RNAcentral lists this ribosomal RNA (985 nucleotides) under uncultured Methanomicrobiales archaeon. RNAcentral describes it as "bacterial SSU rRNA". It matches the Rfam family "Archaeal small subunit ribosomal RNA", at positions 72 to 1060 of the family's 1478-position model. Lineage: Archaea; Methanobacteriati; Methanobacteriota; Methanomicrobia; Methanomicrobiales. The record is from RNAcentral.
CNNNNNNNNNNNNNNUGCUCAGUACACGUGGACACCUACCCUGUGGAGGGGGAUAACCCCGGAAAACUGGGGAUAAUACCCCAUAGGUUAGGGAGGCUGGAAUGCCCCCUAGCUCAAAGGUCCGCCGCCACAGGAUGGGUCUGCGGCCGAUUAGGUUGUUGUUGGGGUAACGGCCCAACAAGCCUUUGAUCGGUACGGGUUGUGGGAGCAAGAGCCCGGAGAUGGAUUCUGAGACACGAAUCCAGGCCCUACGGGGCGCAGCAGGCGCGAAAACUUUACAAUGCGAGAAAUCGUGAUAAGGGAACCCCGAGUGCCCGUAAAUUCGGGCUGUCCGCCAGUGCAAAAAACUGGUGAAGAAAGAGCCGGGCAAGACCGGUGCCAGCCGCCGCGGUAAUACCGGCGGCUCGAGUGGUGGCCACUAUUACUGGGCUUAAAGCGUCCGUAGCUUGGUUGUUAAGUCUCCUGGGAAAUCCAUCGGCUCAACCGAUGGGCGUUCAGGAGAUACUGGCAACCUAGGGACCGGGAGAGGUGAGAGGUACUCCAGGGGUAGGAGUGAAAUCCUGUAAUCCUUGGGGGACCACCUGUGGCGAAGGCGUCUCACUAGAACGGCUCCGACAGUGAGGGACGAAAGCUGGGGGAGCAAACCGGAUUAGAUACCCGGGUAGUCCCAGCUGUAAACGAUGCGCGUUAGGUGUAUCGGUGACCACGAGUCACCGAGGUGCCGAAGAGAAAUCGUGAAACGUGCCGCCUGGGAAGUACGGUCGCAAGGCUGAAACUUAAAGGAAUUGGCGGGGGAGCACCACAACAGGUGGAGCCUGCGGUUUAAUCGGACUCAACGCCGGGAAGCUCACCGGAUAAGACAGCUGAAUGAUAGCCGGGUUGAAAGACUCUGCUUGACUAGCUGAGAGGAGGUGCAUGGGCCGUCGUCAGUUCGNACUGUGAAGCAUCCUGUUAAGUCAGGCAACGAGCGGAUUACCCGAAUCNU